AUACGGAGGGUGCAAGCGUUACUCGGAAUCACUGGGCGUAAAGCGCGCGCAGGCGGCUAUUUAAGUUGGAUGUGAAAGCCUACGGCUCAACCGUAGAACUGCAUCCAAAACUAUUUAGCUAGAGUGUGGGAGAGGAAGAUGGAAUUAGUUGUGUAGGGGUAAAAUCCGUAGAGAUAACUAGGAAUACCAAAAGCGAAGGCGAUCUUCUGGAACAGUACUGACGCUGAGGCGCGAAAGCGUGGGGAGCAAACAGGAUUAGAAACCCCAGUAGUCC
This 274-nucleotide ribosomal RNA is filed under the name uncultured bacterium. RNAcentral's name for it is "partial 16S ribosomal RNA". It matches the Rfam family "Bacterial small subunit ribosomal RNA", at positions 523 to 796 of the family's 1533-position model. The record is from RNAcentral.